GGUUCGGAUUCUGGCUCAGAUUGAACGCUGGCGGGAUGCUUUACACAUGCAAGUCGAACGGCAGCACGGACUUCGGUCUGGUGGCGAGUGGCGAACGGGUGAGUAAUGUAUCGGAACGUGCCUAGUAGGGGGAUAAUUCACAGAAAGGUGAAGCAUACCGCAUAUUACCCUUCGGGGAAAGCGGGGACCUUUCGGGCCUCGCGCACUAUUAGGAGCGGCCGAUAUCGGGAUUAGCUGUUGGUGGGGUAAUGCUCACCAAGGCGACGAUCCGUAGCUGGUUUGAGAGGAUGACCAGCCACACUGGGACUGAGACACGGCCCAGACUCCUACGGGAGGCAGCAGUGGGGAAUUUUGGGACAAUGGGGAAACUCCUUGAUCCAGCCAUCCCGCGUGUGCGAUGAAGGCCUUCGUCAGGUAAAGCAUUUUUGGCAGGAGUAAAGAAACGGGUACGGGAUAAUACCCCGUGCAACUGACGGUACCUGCAGAAUAAGCACCGGCUAACUACGUGCCAGCAGCCGCAGGUAAUACGUAGGGUGCAAGCGUUAAUCGGAAUUACUGGGCGAAGCGUGGCGCAGGCGGUUCGGAAAGAAAGAUGUGAAAUCCCAGAGCUUAACUUUGGAACUGCAUUUUUAACUACCGAGCUAGAGUGUGUCAGAGGGAAAGGUGCGUAGAAUUCCGCGUAGCAGUGAAAUGCGUAGAUAUGCGGAGGAACACCGAUGGCGAAGGCAGCCUCCUGGGAUAACACUGACGCUCAUGCACGAAAGCGGGGAGCAACAGGAUUAGAUACCCUGGUAGUCCACGCCUCUAAACGAUGUCAACUUUCGAAGGUUGGGGCCUUCGGGCCUUGGUAGCGCAGCUAACGCGUGAAGUUGACCGCCUGUGGAGUACGGUCGCAAGAUUGGGAAAUCCAAGGAAUUGACGGGGACCGCACAAGCGGUGGAUGAUGGAUUAAUUCGAUGCAAUGCGAAAAACCUUACCUACCCUUGACAUGUCUGGAAUCCCGAAGAGAUCGGGAGUGCUGCAAGAGGACCGAACACAGGUGCUGUAUGGUUAAGCCGCCUGUGCCGGAGAUGUUGGGUUAAGUCCUGGCAACGAAAGGCAACCCUUUGUCAUUAGUUGCUACGAAAGGGCACUCUGCACGAGACUGCCGGUGACAAAACCGGAGGAAGGUGGGAUGACGUCAAGUCCUCAUGGCCCUUAUGGGUAGGGCUUACACGUCAUACAAUGGUCGGGACAGAGGGUCGCCAACCCGCGAGGGGGAGCCAAUCCCAGAAACCCGAUCGUAGUCCGGAUCGCAGUCUGCAACCUGACUGUGUGAAGUCGGAAUCGCUAGUAAUCGCGGACUGCAGUCGUCGCGGUGAAUACGUUCCCGGCCUUGUACACACCGCCCGUCACACCAUGGGAGUGGGUUUUACCAGAAGUAGUUAGCCUAACCGUAAGGAGGGCGAUUACCACGGUAGGAUUCAUGAUCACACUGGGGUGAAGUCGUAACAAGGUA
This 1498-nucleotide ribosomal RNA is filed under the name uncultured Bordetella sp. Its description in RNAcentral is "partial 16S-23S ribosomal RNA intergenic spacer". It matches the Rfam family "Bacterial small subunit ribosomal RNA". The record is from RNAcentral. Lineage: Bacteria; Pseudomonadati; Pseudomonadota; Betaproteobacteria; Burkholderiales; Alcaligenaceae.